GAAUUUGAACAUUACAAUUAAAACUCUAAUUGUUGACAAAGGUGUCACAUUGCAAUUCAUAUUUUGCAAUGUAGAUGGCUAAAAUAGCUCAACAGGCACUGCAACAUCUGUUGGAUAACAAUAACAUCAUACAUUAGUUUCCUUAUUAACCUUUCUUUCUAUAAUGUUAUGGCAGGCGGAAGUUGACAAAGAUGGGCGCCUCAAUUUGACUGAGAUGAUUGAGAAUGCAUAUAUAUUCUAUGAUGUUAUUUUCUACGAUGAUGAAGUUGAAUAUGACGAUUCCCCUGACGAGUUCUUUUAAGUUUAUGUUAGGUAAGCACAGUUAUUUUGUUGUCUAUUUAAACCUACAUUCAGUGAUGAUUUUUCGAUGUAAUAUUUUGUGAUCAUCAAUUGCAGGAUGCACAUAAAAGUUUGGGGCAAUAUCACAGACAAAGAGUCAAUAUUUGAAGAACAUAAACAGAGUUAUAAAUUUACAUAGCAAGUUAAAUACAAAAUAUUAAAAUUAUACAGAUGAGCAGAAAAAAAAUCGGCUACGGUUUCUGUUUUUGUUUAAUAGAAGGUAAAUUUUAGGUUGUGUUUGAAAAAUUGUAGAUAAGAUAUCUAGAAUUUUUCAAAUGCAACCUAGACCUCAUCUUUUAGUAGAAAGAUAGUUCCGACUGCUAUAUAAGACUCUUGAAUGAUGUACACGGUGACCUUGCCACGUUGAUAUCUGAUUUGUGAAUUGUAAUAAUUUUACUUUUUAUAUAUCAUCACAGUUAUAGUUGAAAUGAAUUAAUUUUGCUUUAUAUAUAAUCACAGUUGCACGAGAUGCAGGUUACAUAUCUUUAAAUGAAUAUAUAACUCACCCGAAGUAAUUUUUCAAAAUUGGAAGAAAAUAGAAUAAUGGGACUGUGGGAGAGAAAAAAAGUCAGCCUUUUCUAAUUUUAAGAAUUAAUUUCAGUUUUUAGCUCACUAUAUUCUUAGAUAUAUUUUCUCUAUUUUUAAUUAUAAAAUUCAUUUUCCAUUAUUUUUUGUUUAAUAUAAAUAAAAAUUAAUUAAAAAAUAAUAUUUUAUCUUUAAUUUUCAAUCAAAUAAUAAAUUUUUUAAACUUGUUUUUACUAAUAUAUUUUGAAAUGAAAUAAUAGACAUUAACAAAUUUUAUAAAAAAAUAUCCACGAUCCAUUUAUCAGUAAAAAAUAUAAACAUCUGUUUCUGUUAUGUAAAAGUAAUAUUUUUUUUUUGACAAAGUUUUACUACAACUAUUUGUUUUAAUAUUAUAAAAUAUAUUGAAGAGUGUUAUAAUAAAUAAUAGAUAAAGUACAUACUUAGAUUCACCAAUUCAAAUAGAAGAUAUUCACUUUAAACCUUGAACUGCUUAAGCUAGUAGGUCUUUGAGUCCAGAAAUGUAGUAGACCACAGAGUUAACUUUUUAUUGACGAAUGAAUCAUACCACUAAAAAGGGUUAUGUUCAAUGUAUUUGACGACACCGACCUCCUAAAAUGCCAUGCUUUCCAAAUUAUUUUUUUUAAUUACUCUCUCCUUUAAAAUAUAAAUAAAAAAAAGUGAAUGUAUUUAGUUAAUUUUAUAUUUUGGGUUGAUAUAAGAUAUUUCCUUUUUAUUUAUAUUUUGAAUGAUUUAAGACUAAACACUUUCACAUUUUUAAUUAUAUUUUAAGCCAAAAAUAUUAAUGUUUAAUAACAAUUUAAUUUCUCUAAUAAGACAACACAAAACAUUACUAAAUAGACCACUUCAAUAACUUUAUAUUAUUAUAUUUUAAUAAUAUUUAUUUAUUUUAAUAUUUUUAUGAUUUAUUGUAUGAAAUUCAAGUAAAGUAAAAAAGAAGAUUGUACUUCUAUUGUCAGAAAAUGUAAAAUUAUUAUCCACAACAGAUGUGCAUAUUUAACUUUUGCUAAAUAGGUGAAUCACAUGCAAUUGUGAUUGUCUUUGGUUCGGUUGUGAAGACCGGUAGUACAAUUGUUUGACUAAUAUCAAGCGACCAUGUCAAUUGUUUGACAAAUAUCAAAAGGACAUGGAAAGUGUGACAGCUCUUUAGCACUAUUGGUUCUGUAUUCAAUUAGAAGAAGAAGAAAAACAAUAAUUAUACAUUUUAAAAAAAUAUUGAUUAAUUGUAUUUAAUUUUGUUAUGUUGUAAAAAAUUAAAUUUUUUAUACUAUCAAUACUUUUCAUUUAAUUUUGUAUCAGAAAUUGUUAUAUUAAAAAAUAUUUCAAUAAAUAGUUGUUGGUAAAAUUAACCUAGUGUAAAACUAACCUUAAGACUGUCAAUUGUCGGUUUCUUAAUUUUUUUUAAUAAUAUUUAUUAAUUCAGCGCAAUCUAUUUUUUAUUUUAUUUUAAACAUAAUUAAUAUUUUUUAUUUAUAAUAUUAUGUUUUAGUAUAUUAUUAUACAUCAUAUAUGCUUAUGUUUUUUUAUACUAUAAUAUGUUAUUUAACAUAAUAUAAAUUUAUAAUUAUAUAUUUAAUAAAAUUGGAUGAAAAAAACUUCAAUCCAAAUAACAUUAUUUAGAUCGGAGAAUAUCUUUUAGAAGAAAUCAUCCAAACUAAACUAAAUUCACUUGUUAUUUUCAAUCUGGUCAAGUGGUUUUUUUUACAUCAAAACUGAUUAAAAAAAUUGUACUACAGGCUCUUACGUUAAGGUGUGGUUAGAUUUUUAUCAAUUAACUAAUUUUUUACCGACGUACAAUUAGUUUUUUGACCGGACUAGCGUAUAAAACAUUAAAAUAAGGUAAAUAUAUAACAUAAUCACAAAAAUUAGUAUUCACAAAUAAUAAAUAUUUAAAACUAAUUGUAACACCGCUAGAACUUAUCACUUUGAUGCACUCCAUCUCGGUUAUAGCAAUCCCUGUUCCGUCUAUUAUAUUUUUAUACUAUGGAUAGUGAUAGAUUUUGAAGUAAAAUAUUGUAAAGUUUAAAUUUUAAAAAUUUAAAUAGAUAAUUUAAUGAAAAUCUACAUAUAUAAAUAUAUCAAUUUAUAUGAUGUAAUUCACCCGAUGUAUGUCAUCUGGUUAGAUUAAUACAUAUAAUAAAAAAAGAUGCACAUAUAACAUGUCACCUUAUACAUUAGAUUCAAAUAUACAUCUCAAUAACAAUAAAUCAACAAUCACAAUUCAACUUAUAAAAUACACCGAUUAUAGAAUUUACAAUUAUAACAACAUGCACUACAAUAUUUAUAUUAAUUAAGAUAUCUAUUAACAUAUGUAUGUCUAGUCAUAAUUUAUCACAAUUCGAUUAACAUGUAUCAAACCACACAAAUCACAAUUAUCUUAUAGACUUAUAUAAUUUGAUUUUUACAAUCAUAUCACAUUUAAUAGUUAUUUUAUUUUUAAUAUAAAUAUUUUUUUAUAUAAAUAUUUUUUCUUGUAAAAAAUAUUACAUGUCAAAUCACUAACUAUCAUAUUAUAUUCAUCCACGUAGAGUAAUUUGAAAUUGAAAUAGUAAAUUAAUUAAUGGAAGGAGAAAAAACAUUUCACUAUCACUUUCUUUAAUUUUUCAAACACAUAUUCUCUCAUUUCUCUCCAAACUCACACAUUCUUCUUUAUUUUUGAGCAACUUAGAAGCCUCUAAACACAAAACUGUCAACUACAAAGUUAUUUCACUAUUAGAGAUGAUUGCAAAUAAAUAAAGAUCAUUAGUUGAGGUAGUCAUUUCUCCCCUCUUUUCUCUCAAACCUGUAAGCAUGCAUAUAUAUAGGGGGAAAAUUAAUGUUUAUUUUAUAUGUUUUAAGCUUUAAUCUUGUUUGGUUAUCACUACUAUGGUUGUUAUUAAUGUUUAGAAAAUUAAGGGAACCAUUUUCAUAUGUAAGCAUGCAUAUAUAGGGGGAAAAUUUAUUUUUUAUUUUAUAUGUUUUUAGCUUUAAUCUUGCUUGUAUAUCACGACUAUGGUUGCUAUUAAUGUUUAGAAAAUUAAAAGAAACAUUUUUAACUUUUUUUUCUUCUAAAAAUAAAAAACCUAAGUAAGAGAGUAAAAUGAAAAGUUUUUAUUUAUUUAUUUAUUUUAUUUUAUUUUAUUUUAUUUUAUUUUUUUUACUUUUGUGCUUUGUUAAUAUUGAAAUUAGAGGAAUUAGUAACUUGAAUAACCUAGAGUGAAACCAAACCCCCAAAAAAUUUACUAAGACCAAAUUUAGUGUGUCAUAAUAUUAAAGCUUAAUUUUAGUAUGUGUUUGAGUAAUAUAAUAGAUUUUUUUCAAAUAAAUGAGUUUGAACUUACAAUAGAAAUUUUAUUAGAGUCGUUUAAGUCAAUAAAGUUAAGAAGACUUUUGUAAAUAUGUUUGGUUAUAAUAUUUAUUUAUUAAAAUGACAACUAGAUAUUAAGGUGUGUGGGAAUCAAAGUGAUGUAUCAUUUAAAAAAAACUCAAACUUGUAAAAUGAGGAUUUUAAAGUAAGAGAAAGAUUGAUAGAAAGAAAUUGAUUAGUUUUAUUGAGUAAUGCAACCUUGAAGUAAAAUUUAUAAUUCUCUAUGUUUAUAUGCAGUUAGCUCAUUGAAUCUCGAAAAUGAAUCGAGAUUGUUGACACUGAAAUUGCGGUGGCAAGAACUUUGAAUAUUUUAUGUUUGUUGUGUUAAUUUUUUUAAAGAAACUAGUAAAAUAUUUGUGCAUUCGCACGGGUGGCGCAUGUUUAUAUUCAUUUUAAGAUUGUUAUUCAUUGUCAAUGUAAUAUUUGAACUUUAGGAAAAUAUACUCAUUUAGCAUUAUAAUAAAUAUGCAUAAUUACUCAUGCGGUCCCUUAAAUUAAUUUCAGAUAACAAUUUAGUAUUUUAUUCUUUUUUCUUUCUGAUUUGGUUAUUUAUUUAAUUUUAAGUAAACAAUUUAAUCUUUUAUGUUUUAAAAUGUUAACAAUGUUAUCCCUUUUUACAAAAAUUUGAUCAAAAUUUUCAAACAAAACUCAUAAAAUUAAUUAUCAUCUUCAAUAUAAUACAAAUUUUAUCAAAUUUAUAACUCAAAUUUUUAAAUAAACUCAUAUUUUCAUUUUUUAUAUUUUUGAAUUUUUUGUAAUAAAAUUAAAUAAAUGACCAAAUCAGAAGGGAAAAAAAAGGACUGAAAUGUAAGUUAAGAGAUUGCAUGAUCAAUUGUGUCUAAUAAAUAUUAUUGAAAAUCGCAAAUAGUAUUCUUCUUGUGAUUUUUAUAUGUAUUAGUGGAAACUAUUUGUAUCUUGUUUUUUUAAUAUUUAUUCAUAACAAAUAUUUGUUUCCUAUAUUUUUAAUAUUUAUAAGCGACAAAUAUUUGUUAUGUGUUUUUUUUUAUGUAUCAUUGAACAAAUAUUUGUCUUGUGAUUUUUUAAAUUUAUCAUUAUUGAACAUUAUUCAUGUAUUUUUUUUUUUUUUGCAUUAGUUAUAGUUAUUUAUGGAUUAUGCUUUUUAAUAAUUAUCAAUGACAAAUAUUUAUUCCAUGUGUUUUAUGUUUGAAUGUCAAAUAUUUGUCUAUAUUUUUUUUAAAUUAUUAGUAACAAAUAUAUGUAUAUUUUUUUUUUAAUAUUUAUUAGUUACAAAUAUUUCUCAUGUGUUUUUUAUGCGUCAAUAAAAAAUAUUUAUUUCAUGUUUUUUAUGUAUCGAUGAAAAUAUUUAUCUUAUAUUUUUAUAUAUUUUGUAACAAAUAUAUGUCUUGUAUUUUUAUAUAAACUACUUUUUUAUUCUUUAUUAUUAUUAUUAUUGCUUUUUUUAUUUUUCCAUUAAUUGAAAUUAUAACACGUGUCAUGUAUUUUUUAUUCUCGAGUUAUAGAUAUUUAUUUAUUAUUUUUUAAUAGUUAUCAAUGACAAAUAUUUAUCUCGUAUUUUUUAUUUUUAAUGUCAAAUAUUUGUUUAUAUUUUUUUAAAAUUAUUAGAGACAAAUAUAUAUAUAUAUAUAUAUAUACCUUUUUUUUUAUUAGUUACUAAUAUUGUUUCUCCUACAUUUUCUAUGUGUCAAUGGCAAAUAUUUGUCUUGUGUUUUUUAUGCAUCAAUAAUAUAUAUAUCUCUUUCAUAUUUUUUAUACAUUGAUAACAUAUAUACAUAUCGUAUGUUUUUAUAAACUACUUUUUCUAUUUUUUGUCAUCUAUUUUAAAAUAUUUUUUUAAUAAAUUAGUAUUUCAUUUAUGUGAGAAAGAGAAAGUUAUUUAAUAAAGUUAGAGUUUGAUUAUUUUAAUUAAGAAUUACGACUACUAUUUUAAUAUUGAAAAAUGUUAUGUUGUUUCUUUCAGAAAAAUUAAGUGUUAUUGUUGGUGAAGUUAUGGAGGUAGGAAGAAAUUGUGACUUGUAGUUGUCACAGUUUUUUAUUUUUUUUUGCUGAGUGUUUUGUUUUUUUAGUGUUUUCACUGCAUUUUGACAGUUUUGUUUUUAUUUUUGUUUUUGUUUUUAAUAUAGUGUUUCUACUUCAUUUGUGUUUUAAGUAAAUUUUAUAAUUUUUUGUACUUAUGUAGUUAGUAUCUUUAGUCUAAAAAAUAAAUUGAGAUUGUUGAUACUGAAUUUUUUAGAAAAAGAUAGAAACAAAAAGAUCAUGAUAAAUUUUUUUAAAUAAGUUUUGAAAUAAAGUGGUAAAUGAAUUGACGUGGUUUGUUUUAACUCAAAAGUAUUUGAGUUGUAGAAAUUUUAUGAACUUUAAAGAAGUUAGAAAAAAAUACUAUUAUGAUUUUUAAUGGUGGUAUAAAUUAAAAUUUUCACUCGUUUUAAAUAUAAAACCAUAUUAGUUGUUGUUCUUCAUCAUUUAAGGUGUUUUAAACUAGAUUUGGAUUUUGAAUCUCUUUUGAAAGACUUUGAUGAAUAAAAUGAGUUUUAGUCGAGUUGUAUAUAUAUAGAAAGAGAAUUCAAAGUUUUGUUUUGAUAUUGGUUUUAAGUUGAUUUUGUGAUUGGGUGUUAAAAGUUUCAUCUAUGGGAUUUUUGGGAAAAUAAGCUUUCCGUAUUUAUAGUUAAAAUCAAAAGUUGUAGUCUUUAAUGCUAAACUCAAUUUCUACGAAGAGAUUUAACUUUAAAAAACAAAGUUUCAAACUUUAUAACUUUGAGAAUAGUUCAUAUUUUUUAUAAAAAAAAAAUAAGGGUUCAAGCUUUGUAUAUAAAAAAGGUUUGAAGAACACAUAUUCACUCUAUGAACGAAGUUUUAAUGUUAAGUUUUGAAGUUGAAUUUUUUUUUAUUUUUAUAGUAAAGAUGUCAACUUUAUGCGCAAAUUUGAGGUUGAAAAAACAUUUAGGUGUUUUGAAAAACAAUGAUUGAUUAUGAUUUUGGAUUUUGAUAUGUGACUUUAUUACUAGGAAUGAAUAUUUUAGUUGCAGACUUCAAAAAAAUUGUGAAUUUCGGAAAUAUUUGGUGUUGAUGAGAAUAGUUAGUAUAUUGAAACUCUUAGUAUUUGAGUUUCAAUAUUUGGUGUGUGAUUUAGAAUAGUUAGUAUAUUGAAACUCUUAGUAUUUGAGUUUUUUUUAUAUAAGAUUUCAUGGUACAAGCCUUCUACUAGUUUUUCAAAUAUUAAAAAUGUUGAAUUUUGUGAUGUUCAUUGAUGGUUUAAUCGAAAUUUCAAACCAUGUGAGUAUGUUUAUCUUUGAUUUUGUUAAGAAACUAUUUUGUCAUAAGUUGUUAAAGACAAAGAUUGGAGUUGAAUUUCAAUAAGUUUGAAAAAACAAUUUCGAGAUUUUCAAAGAGUGACAAGUAUUUUGAAAUUCGUUUUUGUCAAAGUAUUUAAACCAAAGUCUUUUUGAAGUUAGGGAACCUAAAGAAAGUCAAACCCUAAUUGAUUUGGAAAAUGGUUCCUUGGGUUUAUUUGGGUGUUGUUUUAGAAACUUGUAUUAAUUAAGUUAAUUGAUUGAUUUAAGGUACAAAGAAAUUGAGAGCUGACAUUGGAAUUGUCAUAUAGGUUAUGUUGGCGUAACAUAAGUUGAGAGCUAACGAUAUUAAAUAUGCUUGAAUAUAGAGUGUGUUUGUACGCAUCUUCUUUGUGUUAGUGGUGAAUAAAUGUGCACACGAUUGUUUAUUUAUUUGAUAUGAUUAUGUAUUCAUAACUAUUAACAUAUGUGUUAUAAAUUUUAUUGAUGAGAAUAUGUCUUGAGCAUGCUAUGUGAAUAAGUAUUAAAAAUUAUUAGUGUUUCCUGAGUAUUAAAAGGGGAGUCUUUUAAUAGUUGCAUGUAACUCAUGAGCUUCCCUGAUCAUGUUUUUGAUUUAAUUCCCAAACAUACAAUACAUAUGAAGUACUUGAUUGAUCUAAUGAUUUGAAUUUAGAAACAUUUCAGGCAAACAAGCAGACACUAUACACUUGGAACAAAAGCUUGGAACUCAAGGAAUCAACCAAAAUUGGAGAAUGUGCUUGAGAAAGAUGCAAAUAUGUAUAGUGUGAUUAGUUGUCAUAGUAGUUAUUUUAGUAGACUAAUCACUAUGGUUUCAUACUUAAGUUUUUGCCAAAGAAAGUAAAUCAAUCAACUGAUAAGUCAAUUGAUUAAUCAAUUGGGCAAUCGAUUGUCUGACUCAGAACAAAAGUUUUUACUAAGUAAAUCAAUUGGGAAAUCGAUUACUUAAAGGCUUUCAGUGAGAUCUGAGUUAUGGGCUUAAUCCAAUCAAUUGGACAAUCGAUUGGGACAUCAAUUGAGUAAUCGAUUUUGUGAUUCACAAAACCAACCACUUACUGAAUCAAUCGAUUGACAAAUCGACUGUGAAAAUGUUUUUCAUCAGGAAUGAGUUCUGUGAUCAACCAAAUUGAUUGGACAAUCAAUUGAAUUAUGUUUCUUAAACUGCCAGUUUUGUGGCAAUCGAUUAGAUAAUCGAUUAAAGUGAAUCAUUUAUCAGAAACACAUUGAAUAAUCGAUUGGCACAUUGAUUUUGACCAAAUGGUUGAGGUUCUGUAACAAGCACAAUCGAUUGGCAAAUCGAUUGAAGUAAAUGUCUGAGUCACUGUGACCAGCACAAUCGGUUGACGAAUCGAUUGAAGCUAAAUGUUUGAGUUACAUGAAGAAUUCAGCUCAUUGCCAAAUCGAUUAUGACUAUGAAUAUGCGUCGACUGAGCAAUCGAUUGUUUUGAUCUCGUUGUUUGAACAAAACACCUAUAAUCGAUUACUCAAUCGAUUCUGAUAUAAUCAUAGUAUCAGUUUCUGAUUUAUGUAUUAAAAGAGUCGAUUGGCAAAUCGAUUCAUGCUUAUAUUUUCAAGAUUCAAGAAAAACAAGACACGCGAAAAUCGAUUGGGCAAUCGAUUAAGCUGGUUUUAAACUUUUAUAAAAUCGAUUGAGCAAUCGGUUGUCUUGAUGUUUUUCUGAAUAUAUAUAAGCUGAUUCAAUCAACUUAUAAAAUAACCAAUACACUACACUUGAAACAAUUAUUCAUUACACGUUUUCAUAAUAAAGAAACCAGGAAAAACACUUUGAAAGAAAUAAUUGUUACCACACACAAAAUACUCAUUUGGCAAAUUCUUUUGUGUGAAAUUCAUAUUGUGAUUGAGUCAUCAUCAUUUUGUCCGCUUUUAUCUUUUCUGUAAAAACAAUCUGUAAAGAAAGUUCUGGAAAUCCAGUAGUGUAAACUGGUGACUAUCUUUGUUGGUGCGUGUGUUCAUCAAGAAGAAGUCUCAUCUUGAUCUCGUGAGGGUUUGGCGAGUAACUCUAGAGAUAAGGUGGCAUUGUAAUAGAAGCGAGUGAGUUGGAUAGAUAGGCCAUGUGUGAGCUGGACAAUCUGUAAAACGUACUCAAGUCAAUUCUAUUGGAAAGGCUGAAAUCUGGUUUAGAUUUCAGGACUGGAUGUAGGCUAUCAAACGGAUAGCCGAACCAGUAUAAAUCCUGGUGCAUGAUUUUCUUAUCCUUUCUCUUUAUUUUGAUAUUGCUUGAAUGCUUAUUCUUGAAUGUUUGUAUCAGCGAAUUUCUGUCUUGAUUAAUAUUUUGAAUAAGCAUUGUAUCUGUACUCAUAUAUUGAUAAUACUUGUAAUUGUGAAUCUUUGUUCCUAAAUAAAUUCCGCAACCGAUCAUUGUUAAUCUGAUUAAUAAUCUUGUAAAAAUAGUAGAGACUAUUCUCAUAUAUUUUUUAACAAAUAGAGGCCAUAAUUUCCUACAAUUGGCAUCAAGAGCCUGAUCUUUUUUAGACUACUAUCAUAAAAGAAAACGACCUCUGUAGAAUUUCUGGGAGAAGGUGCAUCCUUGGCUAGGCUCCUGCAUUUAAUAGAGCUGCCUACAUGUAUUGGAAAGAGAGGAUGUUAAUUAUUCUUGAAGCAUGUAGUCUUGAUAUUCUAGAAGCAGUAAUAGAUGGUCCCUAUGUGCCAACCAUAACUGGCACAGGUGAUUCAUCAAUCCCAAAGCCCAGAUCAGAUUGGUCUGAGGAUGACAAAAAAAAGGUUGGAUAUAAUGCUAAGGCUAAAAACAUUAUUACCUCUGCUUUAAGCGCUGACGAAUUUUUUAGGGUGUCUAACUGCAAAACUGCCAAGGAGAUGUGGGACACAUUACAACAAACGCAUGAAGGAACAACAGAUGUAAAAAGGGCCCGAAUCAACACUCUAAUCCAUGAGUAUGAGCUGUUCAACAUGAAGAAAGAGGAAUCUGUUAAUGAUAUGCAGACAAGAUUUACUCACAUAGUCAAUAAUCUAAAUGCUCUUGGUAAGGUGAUUGACAAUGAGCAACAAAUCAGCAAGGUGAUGAGAUGCUUGACUAGAGAGUGGCAGCCAAAAAUCACUGCCAUAGCAGAAUCAAAAGACCUUGGUAGCAUGUCAAUUGCCACACUAUUUGGAAAAUUAAGAGAGCAUGAGAUGGAACUGCAUAGACUGAGUGAGGCUGAACAGACUGACAGAAAAAGAAAAGGGUUGUCUCUUAAAGCCCAAGCACAUCAAACAAAGUCUGAACAAGAGAUCUGCACUGACGAUUCAAAUAGUGAGACUGAUGAAGAUUCAGAACUUGGAUUACUUUUCAAAAAAUUCAAAAAGUUUCUGAAAAAGAAGGAUAGCAAAUCAAGAAAACCCUCAAGUUCAAAGACACAUGACAACAAGAUAACCUGCUUUGAGUGUGGGAAGACAUGACAUAUAAAAUUUGAGUGCUUCCAAUUGCAAAACAUAAAUAAGACUUCAAAGGCUAAAGGCAAUCAACAACCUCCUAAGACCAGAAAAGCCUACAUAGCCUGGAACGAUAAUGAUGAAGAGUCAUCUGCAUCUUCAGAAGAAGAAGCUAAUCUUUGUCUAAUGGCCAACACAGAUUCAGAUUCCGAUAAUGAGGUAAGUUCUAAAUCCAAUCCUUCUUAUGAUGAAUUACAUGACGCAUUUAAUGAACUACAUGAUGAAUAUGUUAAUGUAAUCAAACAGUUAAUGAGCACUAAGAAACUGUUAGAAGAAAAGUGCAUGUUGUAUGAAGAGAUUAAGCUGAAACAUGAGUCUCUUAAAGACACAAAUGAAAAUCUGAAAAAGGAAACUUAUGCACUGAAAUGUGAUUUAGAAAAGUUCAAUAGUGGUAAAAACAAUUUAGAUAUGCUUCUUGGAAACCAAAGAAAUCUAAAUGAAAAAUCUGGACUUGGCUAUAGACAAAACAAGAAUGUUAAAAAGAAUCAGAAGUUUGUUCGAUCUAAGCAUAUGCAUGAUAUCUUCACUAAACCCAAUCAGAAUCCAUCCUCUGCUGUUUCAUGUCACUUUUGCUGUAAAAAUGGUCAUAUGUUUUUUAAUUGUAAACUGAAAAAACUGGCCAACAGAGGAUGGAAACAGAUUUGGAAAGUAAAGACACCAUUGUUUGAAACUAAUCCUCCAGGACCCAAUCUGAAUUGGGUACCUAAAACCAAAAUUUAAAUUACAUUUUGCAGAUAUGCUUGACAUCCAGGACUCAUUCAUGGUACCUAGACAGUGGAUGUUCCAAGCAUAUGACUGGAGACAAGUCAAAGUUCUUGUCUCUGAACUUAAAAGAUGGUGGAUUUGUUAAAUACGGUGACAAUAACAAAGGUAAGAUACUCGGUAUUGGAGACAUAGGGAACGAAUCGACUACGGUGAUUAAAGACGUUUUUUAUGUAAAGGAUUUAAAGCACAAUUUAAUUAGUAGAAGUCAACUCUGUGAUAAGGGAUUCCAGGUAUGCUUUACAUCUCAGUAUUGUAUAAUUGAGCACAAGGAGAAUAAAGACAUAAGGUUAGUAGGUGACAGAAUCAAUAACAUAUACAUGCUUGAUUUUAAUGCUUUGUCUACUAGUACUAUUUGCUGCUUAUUAUCCAAUUAUGAUGAAAACUGGUUAUGGCAUAAGAGACUGGCUCAUAUACAUAUGGACCGCAUGAACAAACUAGUUAGUAAACAGUUAGUUCUAGAACUCCCAAAUAAAAAGUUCACUAAGGAUAAGUUGUGUGAUUCCUGUGAAAAGAGUAAGCUAGUUAAGUCAUCCUUUCCCCCAAUAGAUUUAGUACAAACCAAUAGGGUUUUACAAUUGAUACAUAUGGACCUGUUUGGUCCAUCUCAAGUUAGAAGCUUUGGAGGAAACUUGUAUGGUUAUGUGUUAGUAGAUGAUUACUCUAGGUAUACUUGGACAUUUUUUCUGACUCACAAGAGUGAGGCCUUCUCUAUUUUCAAAAGAUUUGCAAAUUUAGUUCAAAAUGAGAAGAACAAGAAAAUAAUCUCCAUCAAGAGUGAUCAUGGUCGAGAAUUCCAAAAUGAUUCCUUUAAUACCUACUGUGAACAAAAUGGAAUUCACCAUAUAUACUCACCCCUAGAACUCCACAACAAAAUGGAGUUGUAGAAAGGAAGAAUAGGUACUAGCUAGAACUAUGAUUAAAGACUCAAAUCUUCUUAAGUAUUUAUGGGCUGAUGCUAUAAACACAGCCACACAUGUAGUGAACAGAGUUCUAAUAAGGCCAAUACUUAGAAAAACUCCCUAUGAGUUAUACAAGGUAGAAAACCAAAUAUCUCUUACUUUAGGGUCUUUGGAUGCAAGUGCUUUGUAUUAAACAAUGGCAAAGAACAUCUAGACAAGUUUGAUCCUAAGGCAGAUGAGGGUAUUUUUCUAGGUUAUUCCAAAUCUAGUAAGGCAUAUAGAAUCUACAAUAAAAGAACUAAAACUAUAGAUGAAUCUGUUCAUGUAAAAUUUGAUGAAAUGUUUGCUGAAAACUUGAACAACACUCCUCCUAUAGUUGGUGAUUAUUUGGAUGAUAUUGUAGAAUCUGAACCAAUAGAACCUAAUGAACCAGUACCUCCAAACAACAUUGAGUGUAUAGAACCUAUUAGGGAAGUUGACUUACCUAAGGAAUGGAAGUUUAACAAAGACCAUCCUAUUGACAACAUCAUAGGAGAGAUCUCUAAAGGAGUUACAACUAGAAAAACCCUUAGACACUUUUGCAACUUCACAGCCUUUGUAUCUCAAGUAGAACCCAAAAACAUAAAGGAAGCUCUUAUGGACCAUGACUGGAUAGUUGCCAUGCAAGAAGAGCUCAAUCAGUUUGAGAGAAACAAAUUGUGGAUUCUAGUCCCUAAACCAGAAGACAAACAUGUCAUAUGAACUAGAUGGGUGUUUAGAAACAAAAUGGAUGAGAAUAGGGUAAUUACUAGGAAUAAGGCUAGGCUAUUGGAAAAGGGUUACAACCAAGAGGAUGGCAUUGACUAUGAUGAAACCUAUGUCCCUGUAGCUAGACUAGAAGCCAUUAGAAUCCUGCUUGCUUAUGCAUGUAUAAUGGAUUUUAAACUAUAUCAAAUGGAUGUAAAAAGUGCCUUUCUAAAUGGAGACAUCCAAGAGGAAGUCUUUGUUAGUCAACCACCUGGCUUUGAAGAUCCUAUGUUCCCAAACCAUGUGUUCAAACUAACAAAAGUCAUCUAUGGGUUGAAACAAGUUCCAAGAGCUUGGUAUGAAAAGUUAAGCAAUUUCCUCAUACAAGAAAACUUUUUAAGAGGAAAUGUAGAUAAGACACUUUUUAUAAAAACAAAAGGAAAAGACAUUCUAUUGGUCCAAAUUUAUGUUGAUGACAUAAUCUUUGGAUCAACAAACAAUAUGCUUUGCAAAGAAUUUGAAAAUACAAUGAAAGGAAAAUUUGAAAUGUCCAUGAUGGGAGAAUUAACUUACUUCUUGGGAUUUCAAAUCAAGCAAAGCAAGAAUGGCAUUUUCCUAAGUCAAACCAAAUACUGUAAUGAUCUUUUAAAGAAGUUUGAUAAGUUUAAAUCCAUUGAUACACCCAUGAGUCAAGCUUGUCACUUAGAUAGAGAUGAGAAGGGAAAAUCUGUUGAUGUGACAAUGUUUAGAGGCAUGAUAGGAUCUUUACUAUACCUUACAUCUAGUAGACCAGACAUUAUGUUUAGUGUUUGCAUGUGUGCUAGAUAUCAAGUCAAUCCAAAAGAAUCCCAUCCAAGUGCAGUCAAAAGGAUUUUUAGAUAUCUUAUAGGAACCAAAAAUCUAGGUUUGUGGUAUCCUAAGGGAUCUACUUGCACUCUAGUUGGUUAUUCUGAUUCUGAUUUUGUUGGCUGCAAAUUGGACAGAAAAAGUACAUCUGGUACUUGCCAACUAUUAGGGAACUCUAGAGCCGUCAAAAAAGCCCCCAACUACAAUGCCCCCUUACUUUUUUUAUUUUAUUAUUAGGCCCCCUAUCAAAAUAAUCUUUUUAAGGGCCCUUUAAUUUCGGCCCAUUAUUUCAUAGGGCCUAAGGGAGGGGGCUCUAGGGGCCCAUAGGCCCCCAAUAUUUUGUUUAAUUUUAAGAUUUUUUUCUUGAAAAAAAAUUUAUAAAAAAAAAUAAAAAAAUUUUAUUGAAAAAAAAAUCAGAAACUUUUUAUCAAAAAAAAUCGAACAUUUUUUAUCCAAAAAAAGUCGGACAUUUUUUAUCGAAAAAAAUUGGAAAUUUUUUAUCAAAAAAAGUCGGACAUUUUUUAUUGAAAAAAAAUCGGAAAUUUUUUAUCGAAAAAAAGUCAGAAAAUUUUAUCGGAAAAUUUUGUAGAAAAAAAAAAUUAUCGGUGAAAAAAUUGAAAAACUUUAUUUCUAAAAAAGAAAAUUGAUUAUUUUUUUAAAAAAGUGGGCCUAUGGGCCUCCUAAGCCCACAAAUUUUUAGGGGGCCUUGUUUUUGGGGGCCUUUUAAAUUAUUAAUUUUUUUGGUCCCUUCAAAAUGUGGGCUGAGACCAAUAAUUAAGGGGCUUGUCAAAUUGACAGCUCUAGGGAACUCACUUGUAUCUUGGCAUAGCAAGAAACAAAAUAGUGUUGCAUUUUCAACAGCUGAAGCUGAAUAUGUAGCUGCUGGAAGCUGUUGUGCACAAAUUUUAUGGAUGCAACAACACCUUUCUGACUUUGGUGUUGAUCUAGGUAAUGUGCCUAUCAUGUGUGAUAAUACUAGUGCUAUAAAUAUCACUAAGAAUCCUGUCAUGCAUUCUAGAACCAAACAUAUAGAGAUUAUGCAUCACUUUAUUAGGGAUCAAUAUCAACAGGGUAAGAUCAAGCUUGAAUAUGUCAAUACAGCUGAUCAGUUGGCUGAUAUUUUCACCAAAGCCUUACCCAAUGACAGUUUCUUCUUUAUAAGAAUGAAACUUGGUAUUAUAGAUCUCAAUGAAAUCUGAUCCUUAUGACAAAAUCGAUUGAAACAUCGAUUAUCAUGUGACCAGAUAGGAAAACAACAUUACAAAAUCGAUUGUAUAAUCGAUUUAUGAUNNNNNNNNNNNNNNNNNNNNNNNNNNNNNNNNNNNNNNNNNNNNNNNNNNNNNNNNNNNNNNNNNNNNNNNNNNNNNNNNNNNNNNNNNNNNNNNNNNNNNNNNNNNNNNNNNNNNNNNCACUUUAUUAGGGAUCAAUAUCAACAGGGUAAGAUCAAGCUUGAAUAUGUCAAUACAGCUGAUCAGUUGGCUGAUAUUUUCACCAAAGCCUUACCCAAUGACAGUUUCUUCUUUAUAAGAAUGAAACUUGGUAUUAUAGAUCUCAAUGAAAUCUGAUCCUUAUGACAAAAUCGAUUGAAACAUCGAUUAUCAUGUGACCAGAUAGGAAAACAACAUUACAAAAUCGAUUGUAUAAUCGAUUUAUGGUGCACAGUGUUUUAAAUUGUCAAAAUUGAAAACACGAUAAUCGAUUGCAUAAUCGAUUUGUGAUACAUAGUGUCUUAUUUGUCUAUGUCACAAACACUAUACUCGAUUUCAUAAUCGAUUUAGCACAUCUCAGAAGUCAAAUUGUUGGAGUAUACAUCAACUCAAUCGAUUGAGAAAUCGAUGGAAGAUUUGGAAAAUCUUUUAAAGAAUCGAUUUGAUAAUCGAUUGUUUGGUUCUGACAUCCACAUAUUUGAGAAGUUUUCCAACCUCAAGCCCGAGCAUCGAUUGGGAAAUCGAUUGAAUCAGAUUUUUAAAACCUGCACUUAUAUGAAUCGAUUUGGAAAUCGAUGCUGAGAUAAGAAGAUUUCUGAACUUAUAAGGAAAUCGAUUUGGGCAUCGAUUUAUUAAACUAAAAGAUCAAUUACGAAAUCGAUUUACAAGACGACUGUUGGAGAAAAAUUAUAGCCAUCGGAAGUGGUUGUAACAGAUACAUUUCAUUUCACUCAAACAACGGUAACAUAAUCGAUUGGACAAUCGAUUCUGUGAACCCAGAUGUGAAAUAAAAUCGAUUGGGAAAUCGAUUCUGAACAGUUCUAUAUAAAUCCCUAAAUCGAUUUCUCAACCCACUUUCACCAUCAGUUCUUAUUUUCUCACCCAACUUCGAAUUUCUCUGUGUCUUAAUCCUUCUCAAUUAUCUCAAACAUCUUAUAUCUCCAAACUAUACAAUGGCAAGAGUAAAGCAAACUGCACCUCAAUCAUCUUCUUCUAAAUCAUUCUCCCUAGAUUCUUCUUCAACAUCUAGUGGAAGAACACCCUCCCCUCAACCUCCUUCACCACCUGCUAAAAGAGUCUCAAUACCUACUCAUAAGGUAUUAGCUAAAGACAAAGGGGAGGUUGUUGCAAUCACUCAAGAAACUACAAAAAAGAGGAAAGCUCCUCCAUCUGAGAAACUCAUGGGGGAUGCCAUGAAAGGAGCAACCCAGAAAAAGAAGAAGACUGUAUCUUCCCCCCAACCAAAGAAGGUUCAGCCUCCCAAAGGCAAACCAGAUGAAGAAAUUGCUCUCUCUUCUUCUUUCUUAAAAAGGAAAAUCCAAGAGGCUAAAACUCUGGACUUUACCUAUUUUGAUUCAAAUGGGUUUACUUUCCAAAAUCACUUGAGAUUUCAUGGAUUAUUGGAUUUCCUUUCCUGUUCUCUGGAAAUCUACCCAAGGCUGAUUAGAGCCUUCUACUCUACCUUCAAACUCACCAAUACUGGAUUCGAGGCUGAAGUCAAUGGUAAGAAAAUCUCAAUGACUUUUGAACAAUUCUCCAAGCUGUCAGGACUACCAUUCUUUGGAGCAGCUAUUGAUGGAAGAACAAGUCAUGAUUCAACUGAUGACGCUUGGGAAUCAUCAGUGGAUAGGCAUACGACAAUUCAGGACCUGAUGAUGGAAGGUUUUGUUGAGAAAGUAUCCCUUCCAACCGGCCAGAUGAAGGUCCAUCAUCGUAUGCUGAUGUAUGUGCUAACACGAAUCUUAGUACCUCGAUCUGGAAAUCACGCCGUUGUACAGAGGCUGGAUAUUAUCCUGCUUUGGGGCCUGUACAAGGAGCUCAAGAUGAGCUGGGCUUGGAUUGUGUUGAUGAACAUGGUUGAAUCAGCACAAGGCAAGCUGCUGCUUCCCUACCCCCAGUUAAUUACAAAGAUUAUGAGACACAUCAAGAUUUCAUGUGUCAAUGAAGAAUCAAUUAAGACCACUCUAACCUUUGGUGAAUCCAUUGUAAACCAGAUGCAAUUGAAAAGGAUCGAUGGCAUUUGGACAAGGAUACAACCAAGUGUUGAUCAAGCACAACCAAGUGUUGAACCAACUGAGCCAGCUGAAGCACAAUCUGAGCUUUUGGCUAAGCUACUGGAAUUGAUGGAAUCUCAGGCUGCCCAAAAUGCAAGGGUGGAAGCCUCUCUUAAGGAACUCCAAGCUACCUUAAAUUCAGUGGUUCAAGACGUUGCUGCCAUCCAAGAGCACUUGGGUCUCAAAAUGUCUUUUGAAGACAUUGUUGAAAUUGACAGGCAAGCAACUGAAGAACCAAAUCCUACCAAUCUAGAGAGUACUGAACCUCAUGGUGAGGAGACACUUGUUGAGGAUAAUACAUCAGUCUCUACCUCUCUCGUUGGUGAUAAUGAGGAGCAUUCCUAGUUUAGUUGAUUAGGAUUUUGUUUUUCUUUGUUGCUUUGUAAUAUUUCUUAUGAUUCUUUUUGAUUAAUCACUCUCUUGUAUUUCUUUUUGAAUUCAAUGACAAAAGGGGGAGAUUGAUAUCAAAUUUAACUUGUGAUAUUACAUUGGUGAUUGGUAUCAAAUUUAACUUGUGCUAUUGAUCAUGUAAUGCUCUGAUUAUUGCUCUGAUUAUGUGAUAUUGCUUUAACUUGUGAUAUCUGAUACAUAAUGCACACAGUUUCUGAUUUAAUGAAUGCUAAUAGCUUGUGCUUAUGUUGUUGAAAUGAAUCAUAAACUCUAAAAUUCAGGGGGAGAUUCUAAAAUAAUCUCAAGGUUAAAACUGUGUGUUUGUCAUUAAAUCAAAAAGGGGGAGUUUGUAAGUCAUGAGCUUCCCUGAUCAUGUUUUUGAUUUAAUUCUCAAACAUAAAUACAUAUGAAGUACUUGAUUGAUCUAAUGAUUUGAAUUGAGAAACAUUUCAGACAAACAAGCAGACACUAUACACUUGGAACAAAAGCUUGGAACUCAAGGAAUCAACCAAAAUUGGAGGAUUUGCUUGAGAUGCAAAUAUGUAUAGUGUGAUUAUUGUCAUAGUAGUUAUUUUAGUAGACUAAUAAUUAUGGUUUCAUACUUAAGUUUUUUCCAAAGAAAGUAAAUCAAUCAACUGAUAAGUCAAUUGAUGAAUCAAUUGGCCAAUCGAUUGUCUGACUCAGAACAAAAGUUUUUACUAAGUAAAUCGAUUGGGAAAUCGAUUACUUAAAGUCUUUCAGUGAGAUCUGAGUUAUGGGCUUAAUCCAAUCAAUUGGACAAUCGAUUGGGACAUCAAUUGAGUAAUCGAUUUUGUGAUUCACAGAACCAACCACUUACUGAAUCAAUCGAUUGGCAAAUCGACUGUGAAAAUGUUUUUCAUCAGAAGUGAGUUCUGUGAUCAACCAAAUCGAUUAGACAAUCAAUUGAAUUAUGUUUCUUAAAUUGCAAGUUUUGUGGCAAUCAAUUAGGUAAUCGAUUGAAGUUAAUCAUUUAUCAGAAACACAUUGAAUAAUCGAUUGGCACAUUGAUUUUGACCAAAUGGCCGAGGUUCUGUAACAAGCACAAUCGAUUGGCAAAUCGAUUGAAGUAAAUGUUUGAGUCACUGUGACCAGCACAAUCGGUUGACGAAUCGAUUGAAGCUAAAUGUUUGAGUUCCAGGAAGAAUUUCGCUCAUUGCCAAAUCGAUUAUGACUGUGAUUAUGAGUCGACUGAGCAAUCGAUUGUUUUGAUCUCGUUGUUUGAACAAAACACCUAUAAUCGAUUACUCAAUCGAUUUUGAUAUAAUCAUAGUAUCAUUUUCUGAUUUAUGUAUUAAAAGAAUCGAUUGGAAAAUCGAUUCAUGCUUAUAUUUUCAAGAUUCAAGAAAAACAAGACACACGAAAAUCGAUUGGGCAAUCGAUUAAGCUGAUUUUAAACUUUUAUAAAAUCAAUUGAGCAAUCGAUUGUCCUGAUGUUUUUCUGAAUAUAUAUAAGUUGAUUCAAUCACUUUAUAAAAAACAAUACACAACACUUUAAAAAAAUUUUUUCAUUACACGUUUUCACAAUAGAGAAACCAGGAAAAACACUUUGAAAGAAAUAAUUGUUACCACACACAAAAUACUCAUUUGGCAAAUUCUUUUGUGUGAAAUUCAUAUUGUGAUUGAGUCGUCAUCAUUUUGUCCGCUUUUAUCUUUUCUGUAAAAACAAUCUGUAAAGAAAGUUCUGGAAAUCCAGUAGUGUAAACUAGUGACUAUCUUAGUUGGUGUGUGUGAUCAUCAAGAAGAAGUCUCAUCUUGAUCUUGUGAGAGUUUGGCGAGUAACUCCAGGGAUAAGGUGGUAUUGUAAUAGAAGCGAGUGAGUUGGAUAGAUAGGCCAUGUGUGAGCUGGACAAUCUGUAAAACGUACUCAAGUCAAUUCUAUUGGAAAGGCUGAAAUCUGGUUUAGAUUUCAGGACUGGAUGUAGGCUAUCAAAUAGAUAGCCAAACCAGUAUAAAUCCUGGUGCAUGAUUUUCUUAUCCUUUCUCUUUAUUUUGAUAUUGCUUGAAUGCUUAUUCUUGAAUGUUUGUAUCAGUGAAUUUCUGUCUUGAUUAUUAUUCUGAAUAAGCAUUGUAUUUGUACUCAUAUAUUGAUAAUACUUGCAAUUGUGAAUCUUUGUUCCUAAAUAAAUUCCGCAACCGAUCAUUGUUAAUUUGAUUAAUAAUCUUGUAAAUAUAGUAGAGACUAUUCUCAUAUAUUUUUUAACAAAUAGAUGCCAUAAUUUCCUACAGCAUUUACAUAAUGAUUAAUGUGAAAAAGUCAAAGUAUGCUCAUGCAUUUCAUAGUUAGUGGUGACUGUGAUGGACCAUAGGGUGGUUCUGUGAGUUGAUUGAUCCACCUUAUCUUUACAAGGAUUUUGGAGUCUUGUAGGUUUAUGAUAUAUCGCACGCUGGUAAAUCGUGUUGAUAUUUGUGAUAGUGGCACCUUGAUAAUUAGUAUUAAUCUGUGAGAGACAAUAUACUUAUGAUUAAUGCGUCUCAAGGAGGGUGUGAAAAUUAUGGAAUCAUGUGCAUUGUCAUAUAAGCAUUGAAUUAUGGUGUUUUGUCACAUGCCAAUAUAUGUGUUCAUGCUUUGCGUUUUUGUAUAUAUGUUGACCUUAUACUAUUAUUGUGGAUCGAGCUUAUGCCUCAGAUUCUUAGAGUUUUGAGUCGUACGAGAACUGCAAUGACGUCAAAACGUGAUAAAACGAUGAUUUGGAUUGGCGAUCAUAACAAUUACAUUUGAUUUCACUCGUGGGUUCUUAGUACUCAAUAAUCAUCAGUUAGAGUUCAAUACCAGCUUAUCGUUUUAUUUAAGGAUUUUAUUUAUUCUCUCUUCCUUAUUGCAGUGUUGUUGUCGCAAUGAAAUUUAUAUAUAUGAAGUUAUUGUGAUUUUUUUUUGUCAAUGUGAAUUGUUCGAUUGUAAAUGAGUUUGUUGUGUCGAAAUCAUUUUAUAUAAUACAACAAUGAUUCUAAUUGUCAUUUUUUAGAAGAAAAAAAUUACAAUUAAGUAUUUUAUUAUGAUUUAAAUUAAAGGACAAUUAUAAAUAUUUUAUCCAAAAGCAUUUAGUUGUUUUUUUUUUCUAAGAAUUACACUCUUGUUAAAAAACGAGGUAUUACAUGAACCCUAACUUUGAUGAAGAAGAUGAAGACCACCGUGAAUCUGCAACAAUGGUGAAUGAGGAAAACCUAAUUUUGUUCUCUCAUGGUCCUUUUUAUAUUGUUGAAUGAGUUAUACCACAUAGAAGUCGGCGUUUCAUAAUUAAAACGGAUAGAAAAUGAAUAUAUUGACUAACGGAGACCUAGUUACGAGACCAAAACGGAAUGAAAAUUAAUUAAGAGACCAAAAUGAAACUAAUAAAUAAGUUAGAGGACUAAAAGACGAAUUUAACACAUUUUUAUAUAGAUGAGAGGUAUGUGUAAGGAAUACAAAGAAAUGUAGCAAAAAAAUGUCGUAGAAAUCAAGAAAUAUUAUUCUUUCUCUUUGAUAAUAAAUGUCAUAUUUAUUAAUUAAUUUAUUCAUAUUAAAAUAUAAUUAUAAAAAAAUAAUUUUAUCAAUUUAUUCAUUCACGUGUUUUUCACUAUCAUAAAUAUAAAAUAAAAUAUAAUACUUAAAAAUAAUAUUCAUAAUGUUAAUUAAAUGUACAAUUAAAAAAUAAAUUAUAUUGAAAAUUAAAAAUAACAUAUAUUUUAAAAUAACAUUAUUUUAUUAAAAUAACCAUCAUGUUAUUUAUUUUUGUUUGACAAUUUACUCCUUCUAUCUCACAAUGAAUGUAAUUCUAAUAAAAACAAUUGCUUUAAAAUAAAUAUUAUUUUAAAUUUUAAAUUUUUAAUAUAAUUUUAAUUUUGUUUAUAUUACUGUUCAAUAAUUACUAUGUACAUAGUUUAUAAAAUAUUAUUGAAUUUUAAAUUAAUAAUAACAAAAAUUAACUAAUUGUUAAAAUAAGUAGUUUAAUAAAAUUAACUUUUGUCUUUGUAAUUUUUAUUAUUAUAUUUUUUAAUAUAUAUACAAAAACUUUAAAGGAGAUUUAUUGUAAAUGGUAAGACUGAUGGUACCAAGAGGCAUCUCAAGGGAACACCCACAAUCUUCAUGCCUCUUGGUACCAUCAGUCUUACAGGUAUUUUUAAAUUUUAUUUGUUUGUUUUAGAAAAUAUUAUUUACUAGUUUAUGUGAUUUAUUUUAAUUUGUAUUAUUUAAUUUAUUUGUAGAGUUGAGUCUGCUCAUUGGAGAUUGAAAAACAUGCUGCAAACUAGUUUUGGUGAUUUGUGUAAAAGUUGGGAUGUUGUGAAUAUGAUGUUGAAGAACCAAAUAUGUAUCAUUCAGUCUUCUUUUCAGAAAACCAUCAAGGAUGUUGAGCACGGGUAUAAUUCAUAAUUCUUUCAAAGUCUGCAUCAUUGUGUAUCAAGGAAAUGUUUAAAAAAAAUUGACAAACAGUUGCAGAGAGUGAAGAUUGUAGGUACUGACAAAACAAUAUGUGGUUGCUCAAUCAGAACAACUCAUGGAUUACCAUGUGCUUGUGAGUUGGCAAAGUUGCAGAUAUUUGAUAAUGUUAUCCCUUUAGAUAGCAUUCAUGUUUUUUGGAGAAAGUUAAGCCUUGAGAAUGAAUUGGAGGAUGAAGAAUCUUUAUCAGAUUAUGACUUUUUAGAAGAGUUAGAAGCAAUGAAAGUGUACAUGAAGAAACACGAUAUUGUAAGUCAAAGGAUAUUCAGGGCUAAGGUGUGUGAAGUUGUAUUUCCACAUACAACAUCAAUACUUGCAGCACCAGAGAAGGUUCGAACCAAGGGAGCAAGCAAAAAGAAAAAAUAAUUUGAUACUCCUCGUGAUCCUUCAUAUUGGGAGUAUGUUGAUGCCUCUCAAGAAUCUGCAAAGCAACCAUCUCAACGUUUUGCAAGGCAACCAUCUCAUUCAUCACAGUAUUCUGCAAAACAACCAUUUUACACACAUUUUUCUACUCUUAUACAUCCGUAUAUUGAGGAGAUAAUAGAUGUGGUGGUUGAUGGAAAUUGUGGGUUUCGCGCAAUUGCAGCAUUGUUAGGAUGAACUGAAGAAUUUUGGCCUUUAGUUCGAACACAAUUGGAUAAAUAGAUUCUUCUACAUCAAGACCUUUAUGCCAAUGUGUUCGAUGACAGUGUUGAAUCAGUGCGAAACUCAUUGAAAAUAUCAGGAUUGGGUGCUCAAGGACAAGAUAAGUGGAUGUGUUUACCAGACUUGGGUUACAUGAUAGCAACAAUAUAUAAUGUCAUAUUGGUGUCGUUGUCUCGUAAUCUGAAAUGAAUAUUAUAAUUUAAUAUAUUGUAUUUCAUUACGUUUUAUCAUUUACGUUUCAAAAUAUAAAAACACAUUGGAUAACACAUUCGAUAAUCUCAAAAUAAUCGAUUAAAUAUUCAGGCAUACAUAGCACAAUAACUAAUCGUCAUACAAGCGACAUAAUUCACUUAAUAUGUCAUGAAUCUCACUAAAUGGUGUUACCAUAUCUAAGGCCCUAUGUGCAAGCUCAGCUGCUCUACGGUCUCUACCAGUAUGUGCAGAAGAUGAUGGACCAGCAUGUGCAACAACAGUAGUAUGUAGACUCGAAGGUGCAACAGUGGAUGGAGGGAGAAUCAGAGGAUGUGAAACACUAACGUGCCAUGCAUAGUAGUCUGCAGUGACCUCUUCAAGAAAAGUCGCAACAGGAUAUAUUCUCCGAAAGGUCUCUACAGAUGAUCUCAUAGUAUUCUGCCAUACCGAAUCUAUACUAUUCGGCAUCGGAGGAACGUCACGCAGAAUGCAUUGAAUACGACCAAACUGUCGAAGACAUCGCUCUGGCAAAUAUGGGACUGAGACUCCACCACAUCGAAGAUAUCCAAAAAACAUCGAAAUCGAUACAAACGGAUGAUUAGCUCGAUCAUCAUCAUAUGGUGUAAACACUACAUCCUCGAGCAACAACACAUCAAGUCUCCGACGAUAUGCUAACAAUCCACCUUCAACAACAUGUUUUGCAGUCCACCUAGAUGCUCUUGGAAGAUGCGCAGGAACCGCUCCUCUAUCACCUCGCUUACAGAUUCUAGGGAAGUGCUCGUAAAUCCAACACUGCAACAUAAUUAACAUAAUAAAAUAACACAAUGUAAUAAUUAAAUUAAUAAUUAAAUAAAUAAAUGACACAACUUAAUAUAAAUGAUAUACCUGUAGUAGGGUCAUGUAACCUUCCACAUGUCGAGUGUCGUGGACAGCUCCAUCUCCCAGGUUGUCAUAAAGGAAAACCAAUGUUGCGGAAGCCCACGAGUAGUCCCGACAACGAUGUAAAUCAAUAAAAAGAGUAAUGUAUUUUGCCUCAACACGCGUAUGUGUUUUAUCAGCGAAAAUAGUGCAGCCAACUAAAUACAACAGAUACGUUCUAGCCGCACACUCAAACUGGUUAGUUUGAAUGAGACGACUAUAUAAAUCACGCAACCAUUGCAAUCUAUAUGAGCACACUUGUUAUAACUAAUCUCAAUACAUGCUUCCUCCCAUGUUGCACCUAAGUACUCAUGUGCAGCUCUUGCAGCAUUAUUAGUAUUCAUAUUCAAAGGUGCAUCAAAAAUUUUACCAUGUGGUGAGAUGUGAAGGAGAGUCGCAACGUCGUCUAAAGUGAUAGUCAUCUCUCCAAAUGGCAGAUGAAAUGAGCUGGUCUCUCUGUGCCAUUUUCAACAAAUGCGGAUAUCAGACCAGCAUUAGCCAUAGUGAGGUAACCUGAAUAUAGAUGCAUCAGCCCAGAUUCUUGAAUCCAAUGCUCUACAGGAGCUGGUAUAGGAACUUCGGCAAACUUCUUCAGUUUCAAUCCGUGAGAAAUAACUUUUAAUGAUCCACGAUCCUGUGAAUAAUAAACAUAAAUAAACAAUUAAUUAAACAUAUAUAUAAUAAACUUAAAAAUAAAUAUAAUUAAACAUUUAUAUAAAUAUACAAUUAAUUAAAUUAACAUAAACUUAAACAUUAAUAUAAUUAAACAUAUAUAUAAAUAUACAAUUAAUUUAAUAAACUUAAACAUAAAUAAACAAAUAAUUAAACAUAUAUAUAAAUAUACAAUUAAUUAAUUAAACUUAAAAAUAAAUAUAAUUAAACAUUUAUAUUAAUAUAUAAUUAAUUAAUUAAAGUUAAACAUAAAUAUAAAUAUACAAUUAAUUAAAUAAACUUAAACAUAAAUAAACAAAUAAUUAAAUAUAAAAAUAAAUUAACAUAUAUAUAUCCUUCCCAUAGCCUCCAAGCCACGUGAUGCUCAUAUUCUGUCAACACACAUGUCACCGUCGAUCCUCUGGGAAAUCUGGUCUGCUGAUCCUGAUCAUCAAUAUCAACAACAUCAUCCGACUCAUCAACAUCAUCAGAAGUAUCAUGAAUAUCGUCAGCGGCCUGCUCCAUCUGUGGAGGCUGAGGGACAUACUCCUCCAUAUGUGCAUGCUCAGUGGACUCAACAUCAUCAUCUUGGACCUCCUCUUGUCUUCGACGACGCUGCCUAAUUGGACGAUUUGCUUUGUUACGUCGUCUGUUUGAUGCUGUUGGUGGAAUUCUCUCUACACCAUUAUCUCUGUCACCUAUGAAAUUGCGAAUAAUUUGGCCAAACGCACCUCUCAUUCUAGGCACUGCAAUAUAUAAAAAACCCAAAAAACCAUUUUGAAACUUUCAUUGGAUAUGAAACUUUCGAAACUUGUUUUUCGCAACUUUCAGAAUGUUCGAAGAUUUUAUGUUUCGGAACUUUCGUAUUGUUCAAAACUUUCGCAAGUUUGCACUUCGAAACUUUCAAGUUUAACGAAACUUUCGAAAGUUUUGUACUUCGAAAGUUUAAAGUUUAACGAAAGUUUCAAAUGUUUGAAAAUUUCUGAAAAAAAUAUGUUUCGAGACUUUCAUAUUCAACGAAAGUUUUGAAAUUUGUCUUACUUUUUCACUUCGGAUGUUUGAAAAAUUCGAACUUUUGGUAGGGUGGGAGGAUCGAAUAUUUCAGAGUUUCGAAGAAAUGUGUGAAAAAAGGAAAGUGUGUUUUUUUUAGGUUUUUAUAGAUGAAAUAAGGGGCAUUAUUGUCUUUUCCUUAUGGUUGGGGGGUGGGAGGUAAAAGAGAGGGGUACACAGUACAAUUCUCUAUUCCCUUUUUUGUUUUUUUGUUUUUGUUAUGUGGGUGGCAUUUUUGGUUGUUGGUCUUAUGUGGUGGCUCCUUUUUCUUCAAAGUUGGCUUUUGUACUCCACAAUUAAUCUCAUACCUUCUCAAAUUGUUAAAAAUCUAAAAUUGUUUUUAAAAUUUUCAUUUACUGAAUAGUAAAAAAAAUUACUUUAAAAAUUCAUCCCCUCAACAAAAUUUUCGGUACUUAAAUUUUUUCCAUUAAAAUCCGAUAAACAAAUAUUCACUACCGGAAAUUUCGUAUUUCAAAUUUCAGUUAGUAUACCGGAAAUUUCACCAAUAAAUUUUUGGCAAAGUAUUUAUAAUACCAGAAAUUUGGGCAAUGAAAUUUCCGGUAAUUACAUUUUCCUUAUCGGAAAUUUCAAAUUUUUGAAAUAUCUGGUAGUUACAUUUAUCUUAUCGGAUUAAUAAAAUAAAAUAUAUUAAAAAAAUACAUCAAAUAGUUGACUAAAUGUGCCAAAAUAAAUAACGUGUCCCUAAUAUUUUGCCGAUAAAAUAACAACAUAUUUUCUUAACAUCUCUCUUCUAUUUUUCCUGCGAAUAUUUUAUAAAAUAAAAACUUGUUUUCUUAAAAACUCCCUCCUAUUUUUAUUCCAAUCUAAUAAGUAAAUAAAAUUAAAUAAUAAUAAUAAUAAAAUAGUGUUAAUGUAAUUCAAAAAUAAUAAUAAAAAUAUUUAAAAAAUAUAAAAUUUUAAUAAUAUAAUUUAAUUUAUUCUUUAAUUUAUUAAUAAUAUUUUGUUUUUUAAAAUAUUACAUUUAUUUUUUGUUUUAUUAAAUAAACAAUUUUGUAAUUGUAAAAAAUGAGAUGAAACAAAAUUUAGAAGUUUAAUACAUGGUCGCAUACUUGGGAAAUUUCAAAUUUCCGGUAGUUAUAAAUCAAUAUUGGAAAUUUCAUUAUUGAAAUUUUCGGUAUUGAAAACCAAUACAAGAUAUUUCAAAUUUCCGGGUGGUACUCCCAGAAAUUUCAAAAAUAAAAUUUCCAGUGUUGAUUUAUAACUAUCGAAAAUUUCAUUAAUUUUGAAAUUUCAAGUAAAAAAAAAUUCAACAGCACUCACUUUUCCGAAAAACACAACUUGUAAGGGUAUGAAGAAACUGUUUGAUUUUUACAGUUUUAUUAAGAAUAUUUUGGAUAUUUCAAACAUAAAUUUUUUAAAUGAAGGAGUAUAGAGUUAAUUGAAGGGGGUACAAAAAGCAUUUUUUCCUUUUUUUUUUCUUAUGUGGGUGGCUCCAUUUUUUGUUGGUCUCAUGUGGGUGGCCUCCCUGUUUUUUUUUUGGUUUUAUGUGGGUGGCCCUUUUUGAAUAGAAAAAAUAACAAAAGGUUCUUUUGAAUUAUAGUGAAGAUGGCAUAACAAUCAACAACGUAAUCAUUGUUACUAUAAGAAAAAUAUUUAGGAACAUUUAUUUAAGUGUUUUCCGCAUGUUUGUUAAUCUAAAAUAUCAUUUUUGUGAUUAUAAUAAUUUUUAAGAAACUUAUAGAAUUAAAAAUAUUGUAAUCAAUUAAGGUAAGAACUAUAAGAAAACACACUUUAAUAUAUCAAACACUUAUGUAACCAUAAUUUAAAUACACUUAUUUUUACUUAUAUAUUUUUCAAGGAUUUUUGUACUUGAAAACAUGUACAACAUUUUUAAAGAACUAACAACACAUGGCAAUAUACUUUAUUUCUUGGUGUAAUUACUUGAAUAAAAAUAGAUCAUUAUUUAGGAUCUAUUAGUCAAACCCUCAGUUAGUUAUUUCACUCGACAAUAGUCUGUAGGAUUAAUUUUUAGUAUAUUACAUGUAUUGAUUUUCUAUAAUUUGCAAUAUUUUGUUUAAGUAAUUUAAUUAUGUAAUUAUGCAUCUGUGAAAAAUUAAUUUAGUGGAACUAAUUCAAACGGCAUUUAAUGUGAAAAUAACUAAAAUUAAAUAUUAAUUAAGAAUUAUUAAAUAAAGUAAAUGAUAAAAGUUAUUCUUAAAAUAAGUUGAUCUCCAUCUUAUAUACGCGUGUCUGUAUAUAUAUAUAUAUAUAUAUAUAUAUAUUUAUAUUUUUUAUGUAACUAUAAACAGAACACUUAUAGCAUAUGUGAUAUGUCUGUUAUCACUAUCUAUAAAUAGAAAUCUAAAAUAUUGCAAACCCAAAAAGAGAAUCGAUGGUUGUAUACGCAAUUGGAGCAAUUGUGAUUUUCUUUGUCCUCAUCCAUUCACCAAAUAACAACCGCCACCACCACCGCCUCUUGCUCCACCGUGAUGAAAACCAAGAAUCGAACACUAACCAUUCACACACAUCUGAAGAGUGGGAUGAAAACUUAAAUGUAACUGACACGAUUGUCCGUAUAUUCCCUGACAUCGAUGUGGACCCCACAGAUCAGUAUGUGGACCUCCACGAGUUAACUGAAUGGAACUUCGAGCAAGUUCAAAGAGAAGUAUUGCAUCGAAGUCAGAGAGAAAUGAACAUUCACGACAAGAACCACGACGGUUAUCUUUCCUUCUCCGAAUACGGUCCUCCAGCGCCAGGUCCUCCUCUUUCAACUUUCACUCUACUUUUUUUCUUUCACCAUUUUUUUUUUUUGUAAAUCAGCUUUUUGGUUGAAUCUAAGUUGAGUAUGCGUUAUGAACUUCUCACCGUUAACUUUAACUGUUUUUAAAUCGAUUCUGUGGUGUUACCGGCGAAAAAACCCAAACACAUUUUAUUGUUACAAGAAAUCUGUAACAAUAGAUCCAGUAUCCACUCACCGGAAGCGCCACAAACCUCCGCGCCGGAGUUUCACUUCCUUCAUUUCACGCCGCCGUGAGAAAACUUUUUUGCCGCCGGCGAAUCUUCCUCCUCAAGUUCAGCAGUAACCGGAGAUCACACCACCAUACGCGAAACCUCGCUGUGGAGUUUUGAAUUGCGUUUCAGAAAUCUUAGUAUUUUCCUUCGUAAAUACGAAUGUUUUAAGCUUCCGUGGAUGAAACGGCCGCAACCGUUGACAAGGGGUUUUAGGUUUUUAUUUUAUUUUAUUUGUUGGGGUAAGUUUCACAAUUUUCGAUUUUUCAAAUUACUUUCUUUUUGAAUAAUAAAUUUGAAGAUUUUAUUUUUAUCUAAAAAAGGAAUUUUAUGAGUUAUUCUUUUACGAUAUGUAGUAUACCAAUCCCCACCUUCAUAGUGACCUUUAUAAAUUUGCAAUUUUGUUUCGAUAGUUACAGUUUAAUUUCAAAUCAUCGGUGUAGGUUAAUUAAAGAUGAUUUGGUGAAGUUGUAAUGUGAUCCAACCGAUCUUAGAUUGAUGGCCAAGAUUAAUCGCAUUUUUGUUUCUUGUGAACCUUUAUUCCUGUGUAUUGAAUUGAAUGCUGUAAAUNNNNNNNNNNNNNNNNNNNNNNNNNNNNNNNNNNNNNNNNNNNNNNNNNNNNNNNNNNNNNNNNNNNNNNNNNNNNNNNNNNNNNNNNNNNNNNNNNNNNNNNNNNNNNNNNNNNNNNNNNNNNNNNNNNNNNNNNNNNNNNNNNNNNNNNNNNNNNNNNNNNNNNNNNNNNNNNNNNNNNNNNNNNNNNNNNNNNNNNNNNNCAGGAAUGCUUCAUAUUGGGCAUGUUUCUUUCAGAAUAACAUCUGUUUGUUUGGAAACCAAAAUUGGGGGAUGCCUCCAAGAAAUAUAAAUGAAUAAUUUUUUUUUUACUUCUGUACAUAGAUGGUAAUUGUUUAUAGAACUAUAUGAGGUUCUUUUUACUUACAUCCACAUGAUAUUAGACACUAGUGUUUAAUACAGGAGUAUCUAAGUGAAAGUUUGAUAUAAAGUUUCAAUUGAAUGAUGCAACUGCUCAUUUAUGGAAGUUGGUAAAGCUUUCUACUUAGGCAUCUUAGAUUCACACAAAAUACUUGCCAUCUGUGGGAUUGUUUGUUUGGCCCAUACCUUGAAUGACAAAUUAUGUAACCGAGUACCAAAAACAAGCAUCUAGCUUAUUUAGCUUAGCAGGGAAUCCUAAACAUCUGAAUGAAGUGUUGCUGAAUAUGUUACUGUUUUUUGGUCUUUCAUUGCCAUCCUUUUUUCCCUAACCUAUUAGUAGCCUAAUAUAUCCUGAUUAAUGUUCAAGGUCAUCUUUAACCUCAAUAUAAUUGCAACUUGUCCUCUGAAGACUAGAUUUCUUGUGGUUGUCUAAAUAAGUGAAGCCUAUCAGGACUGAAGUUGAAUGUUUCAAAUUUUCAAUCCUCUGUUGGGCAAUCCCAGCUGAUUGUUUGUAAAGGAUGUAAAUGCAUGAUUGGUUUGCUUUUGAAAAUGAAUUUUGCUUUGCAAUCACUUGCCUGCUCUAGAAGAAGUCACUAUAUUGGACUAACUUUUUUAGAGACUUUGCUCAAUAUUAGAAAUGCAGACAAUAUUUGUGGUUGAUUUUAUUUUUCUGAAAGGGAUAGGAAAUCUUCACUUCAUAUGCAAUUAGCUUAUUUGUAUAUAUUGCCUUAUUGUAUCCUUUUAUUUCCUUAUAGGGAAAGUGAUACGGACAGAGAUGGGAAGGUCAGUUUUAAAGAAUUCUUUUAUGGCCUCUUUGAUUCGGUAAGAUACUAUGAUGAGGAGAGUUACAAUGAUCUACAUCAAUCUGAUGAUUCAACGGAUGCUUCAGCCAGAGCUUUGUUUUCUCAGCUUGACAAAGAUCACGACGGGUAUUCACCAUUUUUUUUUUUUUCUUCCUUUUCCCACAAUUAUUCUAUUUGAUUGGAAUCAAUAUUGUAGUUUCCUUAUAGUAUACUAUAAUUUACUUUUGGGUUUUCAUUUUGAAUCUGUGCAGGUCUUUGUCAGAUAUUGAACUACUGCCUAUAAUUGGGAAAUUGCAUCCAUCUGGGCAUUACUUUGCUGAAUAUUAGAAAUGCAGACAAUAUUUGUGGUUGAUCUUAUUUUUGUGAAAGGGAUAGGAAAUCUUCACUUUAUAUGGAAUUAGCUUAUUUGUAUAUAUUGCCUUAUUGUAUCCUUUUAUUUCCUUAUAGGGAAAGUGAUACGGACAGAGAUGGGAAGGUCAGUUUUAAAGAAUUCUUUUAUGGCCUUUUUGAUUCGGUAAGAUACUAUGAUGCGGAGAGUUACAAUGAUCUACAUCAAUCUGAUGACUCAACGGAUGCUUCAGCCAGAGCUUUGUUUUCUCAGCUUGACAAAGAUCGCGAUGGGUAUUCACCAUCUUUUGUUAUUCUUUUUCUUUUCCCACAAUUAUUCUACUUGAUUGGAAUCAAUAUUGUAGUUUCCUUAUAGUAUACUAUAAUUUACUUUUGGGUUUUCAUUUUGAAUCUGUGCAGGUCUUUGUCAGAUAUUGAACUACUGCCUAUAAUUGGGAAAUUGCAUCCAUCUGGGCAUUAUUAUGCAAAGAAACAAGCAGAAUAUUUAAUUUCAUUGGUAUAGAAUUUGAACAUUACAAUUAACACUCUAAUUGUUGACAAAGGUGUCACAUUGCAAUUCAUAAUUUGCAAAGUUGAUGGCUAAAAUAGCUCAACAGGCACUGCAACAUCUGUUGGAUAACAAUAACAUCAUACAUUAGUUUCCUUAUUAACCUUUCUUUCUAUAAUGUUAUGGCAGGCGGAAGUUGACAAAGAUGGGCGCCUUAAUUUGACUGAGAUGAUUGAGAAUGCAUAUAUAUUUUAUGAUGCUAUUUUCUACGAUGAUGAAGUUGAAUAUGAUGAUUCCCCUGACGAGUUCUUUUAAGUUUAUG
Molecule: long non-coding RNA, 31823 nt
Filed under: Cicer arietinum (chickpea)
Lineage: Eukaryota; Viridiplantae; Streptophyta; Magnoliopsida; Fabales; Fabaceae
Description: long non-coding RNA (CARI_LNC002396)
Source: RNAcentral